GGGUGAGUGUCCGAGCGGUCGAAGGAGCGCGCCUCGAAAGCGUGUAAGGGUUAAACCUUCGCGGGUUCAAAUCCCGCCUCAUCCG
Molecule: transfer RNA, 85 nt
Filed under: Bifidobacteriaceae bacterium
Lineage: Bacteria; Bacillati; Actinomycetota; Actinomycetes; Bifidobacteriales; Bifidobacteriaceae
Description: tRNA-Ser
Rfam family: tRNA
About the family: Transfer RNA (tRNA) molecules are approximately 80 nucleotides in length. Their secondary structure includes four short double-helical elements and three loops (D, anti-codon, and T loops). Further hydrogen bonds mediate the characteristic L-shaped molecular structure. tRNAs have two regions of fundamental functional importance: the anti-codon, which is responsible for specific mRNA codon recognition, and the 3' end, to which the tRNAs corresponding amino acid is attached (by aminoacyl-tRNA synthetases). tRNAs cope with the degeneracy of the genetic code in two manners: having more than one tRNA (with a specific anti-codon) for a particular amino acid; and 'wobble' base-pairing, i.e. permitting non-standard base-pairing at the 3rd anti-codon position.
Source: RNAcentral